Molecule: ribosomal RNA, 164 nt
Filed under: uncultured bacterium
Lineage: Bacteria
Description: partial 16S ribosomal RNA
Rfam family: Bacterial small subunit ribosomal RNA
Source: RNAcentral
UAGGGAAUCUUCCACAAUGGACGAAAGUCUGAUGGAGCAACGCCGCGUGAGUGAAGAAGGGUUUCGGCUCGUAAAGCUCUGUUGUUAAAGAAGAACACGUAUGAGAGUAACUGUUCAGGUAUUGACGGUAUUUAACCAGAAAGCCACGGCUAACUACGUGCAAG